CAAUCGGUUUUCUGUCUGGUAUGUGUGUGCGUGUGUGUGUGUGUGUGUGUGCGUGUGUGUGUGUGUGUGAGAGAGGAGGGGGGGAAGCCGGCCAUACAAACGAGCGACGUGUCCGCAACAUGCCGAUCGCAUUUGGGAAAAUCCUUUUAGUUCAUUUGAGCAUCUUAACUGGCCUUUGCUGCUGUUUUCGUACCAAUGUGAAUCCCGAGGAGGACCCGAACAUACCAGCGAUCGCUAAGUACUUCACCACCAAAGGUAGGUACGAGGAAGUGAACCCGUAUCUCAUAGAGGACAUACUCGCUGUAAACAGAUCCAUCCUGCAGCCUCCAUCUGCACAAUGUCGCCAAAUACAUCUGACCGCCAUCAUAAGACACGGCACGAGGUACCCGACGAGCAAAAACGUCAAGAAGAUGCAGAAGCUCUACGAGUUGGUCAAGAACAUCGCCCCGGGCAAAGAGAGCUGGCUGCGUGAAAUCCAGACCCAGUGGACCAUGUGGUACACUGAGGACAUGGACGGCCGACUGGUCCAGAAAGGUGUGAACGACCACAGGCAUCUGGCCGUCAGGCUGUCAAAGCUGUUCCCCUCACUGAUUUCUGAGGAGAAGCUCAGAGGUGGAUUCAUCAAAUUCAUAACCAGCUCCAAGCACAGGUGUGUCAACAGCACACUGUCCUUCAAGGCAGGACUGACAGAGCUGUGGGCUAUUACAGAUAUGGAGUUUGACCACGCAGUGAACGAUGCUCUCAUGAGGUUCUUUGACCAGUGCACCAGGUUUGUGCAGGAAGUUGACAAAAACCCUUCAGCUCUGUCAGAGGUGGACAAGUUCAGGCAGGGACCAGAGAUGAGGAGGGUCACGGAGAAGAUCGCAGACCGGCUCAAAGUCCCCUACAGUGACAUCACAGAUGAUAUGGCCGAAGCUGCAUUCUAUUUGUGUGCUUAUGAGUUUGCCAUCAAGACUGUGAACUCCCCCUGGUGUCGGCUUUUUGAUGAAGUUGACGCACAGGUUAUGGAGUAUGCAAAUGACCUCAAGCAAUUCUGGAAAAGAGCUUAUGGUUACGAUAUCAACAGCAAGUCGAGCUGUAUUCUCUUCCAUGAUGCAUUUAGUCGACUGAACAAAGCAGCCAGCGAGAUCAAGUGAGUAAACCUCGUCCUUCAAUAUGUACAAAUGUGUUCAUAGUUAACAAAUCCAAUGAAAAAGACACAAAAGGACAAAACAAACAGCUAAAUUCUCCCCCCGCAGUCAGCUCUUGGCCCCAGACCAUUCAUGACUAGCGAAGGCUCUAAACUUGCUGAAACUUGAUGGGAUUUAUUUUCAGCUGGGUUAUUAAUAUAUAUAUACAGUAUGUGUUGCUCUGGUGCAAUGUUUCUAAAACGUUUUUUUCUGGCAACCGCUUUUUCAAAAUGAGUAACCAUCGGGACCCAACUCACAACAGGCCUUAUCUGUAAAUUGAGAGAGCGAUUUACCUCAUUUACACAUCACCGUAUGCAUAGAGGUCUAUGGGCUGGGCAGCAGGUGACCGAGGCUGUGACAGUCCAGGUCGGCCAUGCAGAGACCCUCCUGCCACUGCUCACCCUCCUGGGCUUCUUCAAGGACAGCGAUGCCCUGACCUCCACCAACUACGCCACGCAGGCCCAGCGCUCCUUCCGCACCAGCCACAUGUUACCCUAUGCAGCUAACUUACUCCUGGUGCUGUACGACUGUGGCGAAGGCGACCUGAGACUGCAACCGCUGCUCAACGAGAAGCCUGUGACCUUCCCCGGUUUGACGAGCCAGUCGGCCUCCGUGCCGCUCUAUCAAGACGUCAAAGAUCACUACAGGGAGCUGCUCCAAGGCUGUGACUUCGAGACUGAGUGUCAGCUGUUCAAGAGCCCUGCUUAAGUCUCAGCAGAUCCUGGAAAAGAGGCAUUGCAGUGGCUUCAUUUGUGUUUUAUUUGUCUUCCAGCUAAGAAAAGGCAGAUUUGGUGUCUCUGAAAGUGAUCACAGCCGAGCAAUUGUAUUUCCAAGUUCACCUGUACUAUUGCAGUAUUACUUCAACUAUAUUGCUUAUUUUUUUGCAAAGUUUCAUUCCAGAAAUUAAAGAAUUUAUUUUUGCAGUGUA
This is an RNA transcript of Cyclopterus lumpus (lumpfish), 2097 nucleotides long. It is a transcript of the gene named multiple inositol polyphosphate phosphatase 1-like, with no coding region annotated. NCBI's taxonomy places the organism in Eukaryota, Metazoa, Chordata, Actinopteri, Perciformes, Cyclopteridae. The record is from RefSeq and is a predicted model, not a curated record. The transcript has 5 exons.